Non-coding RNA from Myotis davidii, 54 nucleotides. Lineage: Eukaryota; Metazoa; Chordata; Mammalia; Chiroptera; Vespertilionidae. The record is from Rfam.
GGCGGUUCUUGGGUGACACACCCUGGAAUCAGGGUGUGUCACCUGAGAACCGCA